CUACAUCUGAUCAGUUCUUGCCUUAGAUCUAGCCAAAUGACAAAGUUUUAUUCUGAAGUCUUUGAAUGAAUAGGAUGGAAUCACAUCAUAUCUACUUUUGUGUUAGAAAAUGUUGGACUGUCAAAAACGACUCAUCAACACCUUCUUUCAUGGCAACAAACCUCUGUGAAAUGCCACUAUCUGUAGAGCACAGUGACAGAGUCUGCAAAUGAAGAAAAGAUAAAGACACAGCAUAUACCUUUUGGGGGCCUCAAGAGGAAGAAGGAAUACUUCUAAGAGACUUUUUUUUAAAAGAGAUCAAACUGGCAAAUACAGGAUGAGGAAGCAGGGGCAAAGAGGGAAUGAGUACAUGAAUCAGUCUCAUACAGCUUGUAAAUGGUGGGACCAAGAUUGAGACAGCCUGAUUCCAGUGUCCAUGCACUUAACUACUAUGCGUGAUUAAACAUUAAUUUAAGUAUUAAUUAAUUAUUAAACAAAAAAACAAAGCAAAACACCUGUCCUUUAAAAAUGAUUAAAUUAUUUUAUUAAAAAAAUUACUGUAUUAUGUAUGAUGGAUUAUUACGUAGGUAUGAUUGACAGACAAAAAGGUAUACAUACCUAACGUAUAAAACUUAAUGAGUUUGAAGAUAAGUAUACACCUAUGAGACCAUUAUCACAAUCUAUGCCAUAAACAUAUCCAC
Molecule: long non-coding RNA, 680 nt
Filed under: Homo sapiens (human)
Lineage: Eukaryota; Metazoa; Chordata; Mammalia; Primates; Hominidae
Description: HSALNT0377625
Source: RNAcentral